UAGGGAAUAUUGGGCAAUGGCCGAGAGGCUGACCCAGCCAUGCCGCGUGCAGGACGAAGGCUUUCUGAGUCGUAAACUGCUUUUGCCAGGGAAGAAUAAGGGGGAUGCGUCCUCCGACGACGGUACCUGGUGAAUAAGCACCGGCUAACUCCGUGCCAGCAGCCGCGGUAAUACGGAGGGUGCAAGCGUUGUCCGGAUUUAUUGGGUUUAAAGGGUGCGUAGGCGGUUCUUUAAGUCCGGGGUGAAAGCCCACUGCUCAACAGUGGAACUGCCCUGGAAACUGGAGAACUUGAGUACAGACGAGGGCGGCGGAAUGGAUGGUGUAGCGGUGAAAUGCAUAGAUACCAUCCAGAACCCCGAUUGCGAAGGCAGCUGCCUAGACUGUAACUGACGCUGAGGCACGAAAGCGUGGGGAGCGAACAGG
This 424-nucleotide ribosomal RNA is filed under the name uncultured bacterium. RNAcentral's name for it is "bacterial SSU rRNA". It matches the Rfam family "Bacterial small subunit ribosomal RNA", at positions 355 to 776 of the family's 1533-position model. The record is from RNAcentral.